CCAUGUCGUCUGUGACGGGGAACUUGUCUGGGAUCCGCAUGCAGCGGCGGAUCAGGCCUGGGUUGAUGCCAUUGAGAUUAAGCUCUCACUGGCUGACAAGGAGAAAGUCCUCCAUCCUCAUCCUCUUCCCUACUCAUCCCUCACCCCUCUGGGACCAGAAAGUGUCAGGACCCCAGGAUAAGCUCCUGACAUUCCCAGGAUAUAAGAUGACCAGAGGCUUCUUGAAGAUAGAAAGGUCUCACUCAACUUCAUGUUCCUGGUGCCCAGUACUAUGCUGACACACGGGAGGUACUCAACAAAUGUUCCCAGAGGUGAACAUCACCUGUACCCAACAAAUGCUUGUUGAAUGUUUGGAUAAAUGCAUGAGUAGUUGAUGGAUGGAUGGAUAGAUGGGAAGAGCAGUAUACUUGCGAACUGGAUGGAAGUUGUUACCCAACCACUAAGCUGGUAUUUGCUUCAAUAUAUGUCUUUUG
Long non-coding RNA from Carlito syrichta (Philippine tarsier), 473 nucleotides. RefSeq lists it as uncharacterized. The transcript has 3 exons. Lineage: Eukaryota; Metazoa; Chordata; Mammalia; Primates; Tarsiidae. The record is from RefSeq and is a predicted model, not a curated record.